RNAcentral lists this ribosomal RNA (451 nucleotides) under uncultured bacterium. Its description in RNAcentral is "partial 16S ribosomal RNA". It matches the Rfam family "Bacterial small subunit ribosomal RNA", at positions 29 to 523 of the family's 1533-position model. The record is from RNAcentral.
AACGAACGCUGGCGGCAGGCCUAAUACAUGCAAGUCGAACGGAUGUAGCAAUACAUUAGUGGCGCACGGGUGCCUAACGCGUGGGAACAUACCCUUGAGUAAGGAAUAAUGUCUGGAAACGGACACUAAUACCUUAUAAUGACUUCGGUCCAAAGAUUCAUCGCUCAAGGAUUGGCCCGCGUCUGAUUAGCUAGUUGGUGAGGUAACGGCUCACCAAGGCGACGAUCAGUAGCUGGUCUGAGAGGAUGAUCAGCCACACUGGGACUGAGACACGGCCCAGACUCCUACGGGAGGCAGCAGUAAGGAAUAUUGGACAAUGGGGGAAACCCUGAUCCAGCCAUGCCGAGUGAGUGAAGAAGGCCUUAGGGUUGUAAAGCUCUUUCAAUAGUGAAGAUAAUGACGGUACCCGCAGAAGAAGCCCCGGCUAACUCCGUGCCAGCAGCCGCCGUAA